UCCGGUUUGUCACCGGCAGUCUCCUUAGAGUGCCCACCAUAACGUGCUGGUAACUAAGGACAAGGGUUGCGCUCGUUAUCGGACUUAACCGGACAUCUUACGACACGAGCUGACGACAGCCAUGCAGCACCUAUCACCGAGUCCCCGAAGGGAACACCACAUCUCUGCGGCUGUCUCGGGAUGUUAAGGGUAGGUAAGGUUCUGCGCGUUGCUUCGAAUUAAACCACAUACUCCACCGCUUGUGCGGGCCCCCGUCAAUUCCUUUGAGUUUUAGCCUUGCGACCGUACUCCCCAGGCGGGAUACUUAAUGCGUUAGCUUUGGUACUCAGGAGGUUAACUUCCCGAACACCUAGUAUCCAUCGUUUACGGUGCGGACUAC
Molecule: unclassified non-coding RNA, 379 nt
Filed under: uncultured Oligoflexaceae bacterium
Lineage: Bacteria; Pseudomonadati; Bdellovibrionota; Oligoflexia; Oligoflexales; Oligoflexaceae
Description: contains 16S-23S intergenic spacer region
Source: RNAcentral